AGCAGGGAGUUAAAGAUGAAUGCCUGCACUUCCUGAUGCAGAAGACAGUGCUGCUGAAAGAAAAACAUUUGGAAAAUCCUGUUAAGAGAGAAAGGAUUAUGAAGCAAUUGGUGAUUUGUUCUGUGAAUGAGCUGCAGUUAAUGGUGCAUAUAAGUGGCAUCCAGCAAUGGUGAAUGAUGUUUUACUGUUUCGCAUGGAAUGUCCCAGUUACAAAACCAAGUUUUGGCAAGAUGAAAUCAGAAUCAGGAACGAAUUCAAGUAGAUUUACUCAGAAACAGACAUUUGAGUCUAAUCUGGAUCCUAGUACAUAUACGGAUAUGAAGAAUGAAGCAGAGGCUCUUCUCAGGAGAGAACUGCUACAGUACGGUGCUCCACAGGACGAGGACUCCUGCAAGCAUUGGGUUAAAUCUGAUAGAGAUACCAAUACUAAACCCAAAGCAUUUACUUUCUAGACCCCUCUCCUACAAAGCGAAAAAUGCAGACUUGCAUGUAAUUAUGAAGUCUUGCUAUAUAGUAACUAGGGAUAGACAGGAGUCAUAAAAAGAUGUCAGAAACAUCCCGUAUGAUCUUGUGGUUCUGUAAAUUCAGGACCCUCAUUUUUGUCAGACACUCGAACUGUCUUUGUUCUAGUUUUAAAACUAAAUAUC
Long non-coding RNA from Cuculus canorus (common cuckoo), 647 nucleotides. RefSeq lists it as uncharacterized. The transcript has 3 exons. The record is from RefSeq and is a predicted model, not a curated record. NCBI's taxonomy places the organism in Eukaryota, Metazoa, Chordata, Aves, Cuculiformes, Cuculidae.